Molecule: ribosomal RNA, 253 nt
Filed under: uncultured bacterium
Lineage: Bacteria
Description: partial 16S ribosomal RNA
Rfam family: Bacterial small subunit ribosomal RNA
Source: RNAcentral
UACGAAGGGGGCUAGCGUUGCUCGGAAUCACUGGGCGUAAAGCGCACGUAGGCGGCUUUUUAAGUCAGGGGUGAAAUCCUGGAGCUCAACUCCAGAACUGCCUUUGAUACUGAGAGGCUUGAGUCCGGGAGAGGUGAGUGGAACUGCGAGUGUAGAGGUGAAAUUCGUAGAUAUUCGCAACAACACCAGUGGCGAAGGCGGCUCACUGGCCCGGUACUGACGCUGAGGUGCGAAAGCGUGGGGAGCAAACAGG